AGAUUCUCCCCAAACGCCAAGGAUGGGGGUCAUGGCUCCCCGAACCCUCCUCCUGCUGCUCUUGGGGGCCCUGGCCCUGACCGAGACCUGGGCCGCGACUCCGUGAGUCCGAGGAUGGAGCGGCGGGCGCCGUGGGUGGAGCAGGAGGGGCUGGAGUAUUGGGACCAGGAGACACGGAACGCCAAGGGCCACGCGCAGAUUUACCGAGUGAACCUGCGGACCCUGCUCCGCUAUUACAACCAGAGCGAGGCCGGUAUGAACAGUUCGCCUACGAUGGCAAGGAUUACAUCGCCCUGAACGAGGACCUGCACUCCUGGACCGCCGCGAACACAGCGGCUCAGAUCUCCCAGCACAAGUGGGAAGCGGACAAAUACUCAGAGCAGGUCAGGGCCUACCUGAGGGCAAGUGCAUGGAGUGGCUCCGCAGACACCUGGAGAACGGGAAGGAGACGCUGCAGCACGCGGAUCCCCCAAAGGCACAUGUGACCCAGCACCCCAUCUCUGACCAUGAGGCCACCCUGAGGUGCUGGGCCCUGGGCCUCUACCCUGCGGAGAUCACACUGACCUGGCAGCAGGAUGGGGAGGACCAGACCCAGGACACGGAGCUUGUGGAGACCAGGCCUGCAGGGGACGGAACCUUCCAGAAGUGGGUGGCUGUAGUGGUGCCUUCCGGAGAGGAGCAGAGAUACAUGUGCCAUGUGCAGCAUGAGGGGCUGCCAGAGCCCCUCACCCUGAGAUGGGAGCCGUCUUCUCAGCCCACCAUCCCCAUCGUGGGCAUCGUUGCUGGCCUGUUUCUCCUUGGAGCUGUGGUCACUGGAGCUGUGGUUGCUGCUGCGAUGUGGAGGAAGAAAAGCUCAGGCAGCAAUUGUGCUCAGUACUCUGAUGCAUCUCAUGAUACUUGUAAAGAUGGAAGAUUGAGAAGUGGCUCACAGCUCAGCAGAAUGAAAAAAUAUCUGAAUGCUGCUUUCUGAAACUACUCUCCAGAAUGAUUUCACACUCACUCCUUGGAGCAAACAAUGACUUGCAAAUUUUUCUAAUUUAAACAUAAAGGAGUGUACAUAUUGGUA
Homo sapiens (human) is the source of this 1066-nucleotide long non-coding RNA. Ensembl annotates it as major histocompatibility complex, class I, L (pseudogene). Its record names the gene HLA-L. The record is from Ensembl. Lineage: Eukaryota; Metazoa; Chordata; Mammalia; Primates; Hominidae.